UGCUGCGUUUGCCUGGGUGUAAUGGAGAGCAGUACAUUGUGUUCUGGGUUAUCCUCCCCCUCUGACACUCAACCAGCCUUAUUCUGCUCACUUCAGUUCCUCUUCUCUUCUCCUUUUCUCCUGGACACAACUUUCUCAAUCACAACAAAAUAAAUCUUGCGACAGGCCGGACUGGAGGCCACUUCUGACUGCUCAGGGCUGUUCAGGGCCAGAAGUCACUUCUCCAGCUCUUGACCUCUGGACACACACGCCUGUGCUCGCAGAUGCUCUGCUGUUUGAGGGGGACUCUUGCCAUCUAGUGGGAGGGGAUGGGUUAAGGUUAAAAUGCAAGAAAGAUGCAUGUGCUCUCUCUGUGAUGUGCUACUCUUGUUCAAGCUGCCUGGGACCAAGGAGGAACAGCUGCUGUCUCCUUUGGUGGCUGCAGAAGAGCUGUGUCAUGCAAGGGCCCCUCCCAGGAUGGCAGCAGCUCUGGGUUAUGGUGCUUUGGCUUCCAGUUGCCACACGGACAUGGGACUGUGCAAACCUUGCCACGGUUAGGGUGGAGCAGCAACCAAAUAAAAAGGGUGAGAGGAUCAGGUCUGGGAAGUCAGUUCAGCCACCACCAAGCUCCUAAUGUGUAAGUCAUAGAAAUUCCAGUAGGGAUUAAGCAAUUUACAUAAAAUAUAUUGGUUUAUCCCUCUGUUAAGGGAUGCAUAAACCUACUCCUCUAAAAUCACUGGUGUUUGUUGGCCGUCCUGUGAGCCCAAAAGCAGGGAUCUAACCCCAAUUGCACGUUGCAGGGAUAUUCC
This is a long non-coding RNA of Oxyura jamaicensis (ruddy duck), 788 nucleotides long. RefSeq lists it as uncharacterized. NCBI's taxonomy places the organism in Eukaryota, Metazoa, Chordata, Aves, Anseriformes, Anatidae. The transcript has 3 exons. The record is from RefSeq and is a predicted model, not a curated record.